UGGAGAGGUAACGGCUCACCAAGGCUACGAUGUCUAGGGGUUCUGAGAGGAAGAUCCCCCACACUGGUACUGAGACACGGACCAGACUCCUACGGGAGGCAGCAGUGAGGAAUAUUGGUCAAUGGGCGAGAGCCUGAACCAGCCAUCCCGCGUGCAGGAAGAAUGCCCUAUGGGUUGUAAACUGCUUUUUCGCAUGAAGAACACUCCGGACGUGUCUGGAGCUGACGGUAAUGCGUGAAUAAGCACCGGCUAACUCCGUGCCAGCAGCCGCGGUAAUACGGAGGGUGCAAGCGUUAUCCGGAUUUAUUGGGUUUAAAGGGUGCGUAGGCGGUAAUAUAAGCCAGUGGUGAAAUCCUGCAGCUCAACUGUAGAACAGCCAUUGAAACUGCAUUACUUGAGUAAUCUUGAGGUAGGCGGAAUGUGUAGUGUAGCGGUGAAAUGCUUAGAUAUUACACAGAACACCGAUUGCGAAGGCAGCUUACUAAGGAUUUACUGACGCUGAUGCACGAAAGCGUGGGGAUCAAACAGGAUUAGAUACCCUGGUAGUCCACGCCGUAAACGAUGAUAACUCGCUGUUGGCGAUACACAGUCAGCGGCUUAGCGAAAGCGUUAAGUUAUCCACCUGGGGAGUACGCUCGCAAGAGUGAAACUCAAAGGAAUUGACGG
RNAcentral lists this ribosomal RNA (666 nucleotides) under uncultured bacterium. RNAcentral describes it as "bacterial SSU rRNA". It matches the Rfam family "Bacterial small subunit ribosomal RNA", at positions 250 to 916 of the family's 1533-position model. The record is from RNAcentral.